GUGCUCGCUUCAGCAGCACAUAUACUAAAAUUGGAAUGAUACAGAGAUUAGCAUGGCCCCUGUGCAAGGAUGAUAUGCAAAUUCGUGAGGCAUUCCGUAUUUUU
Molecule: non-coding RNA, 104 nt
Organism: Canis lupus familiaris (dog)
Lineage: Eukaryota; Metazoa; Chordata; Mammalia; Carnivora; Canidae
Source: Rfam